RNAcentral lists this unclassified non-coding RNA (377 nucleotides) under uncultured Actinomycetes bacterium. RNAcentral's name for it is "uncultured actinobacterium contains 16S-23S intergenic spacer region". The record is from RNAcentral. Lineage: Bacteria; Bacillati; Actinomycetota; Actinomycetes.
UCCGAGUUGUCCCCGGCAGUCCUCUUAGAGUCCCCGGCAUUACCCGCUGGCAACUAAGAGCAGGGGUUGCGCUCGUUGCGGCACUUAAGCCAACACCUCACGGUACGAGCUGACGACAGCCAUGCAGCACCUGUGCUAGCCCCCGAAGGACACGGGCUUUCACCCGCUUUAACUAGCAUGUCAAGCCUAGGUAAGGUUCUUCGCGUUGCAUCGAAUUAAGCCACAUGCUCCGCCGCUUGUGCGGGCCCCCGUCAAUUCCUUUGAGUUUCGGUCUUGCGACCGUACUCCCCAGGCGGAGUGUUUCACGCGUUAGCUGCGCCACUAAGGGUUUCAUAUACCCCCAACGGCUAGUUCUCAUCGUUUAGGGCGUGGACUAC